UCCCAAGCCACAUUAAUCACGGAACCUUUUUUCAUGAUAAACAUUAACAUCUGGAAGAACUGUUAUUCUGCAGAAUAUAGUUUGAGAAAAGCCAAUAUAGAAUGAAUGAUAAUUUCUACCUUCACUCCAACAUAGCAGAGUGGUUAUUAUCCUGAGCACACAGACUUCAAAUGACCUUGGAGGCUGCAGUGAAAAAACUGUGAUGAAACUUCAGAGUGAAAUACUCAUACAGGAAGAGAUAGCAGGGUAAGGGUAAGUUUGAGGAAGUCACAAAAAAAAAAAAAAAAAAAGGAAUGAGAAAGAAAACUAACUUAUUGAGAAGGCAAAGAUAGAGUUCCAAUUAAAGAAGAAUCACGGCCAGGCAACUGAGUAAAAGGAGAAUUGGUAAGAUUUUCCUAGAUACUUGAUGCCGAGAAGUAAGAAUUAAUAUGGCACCUGCUUCUGGUCCCAGACAAUGGGGGAAAGAUUGGCUCGGUCUGGUUAUUCAACUCAAAGUGGGAGGCUGGCGUUGGGGCCAGAGUGUUUUGACUCAGCCUGAAGUUCUCCUUCUGUGAUGGUUAAUAUUGAGUGUCAAUUUGAUUGGAUUAAAGGAUGCAAAGUACUAUUCCUGGGUGUGUCCGUGAAGGUGUUACCAAAGGAGAUUCACUUUUGAGUCAGUGAACUGGAGAGGCAGAGCCACCCUCAAUUUGGGUGGGCACCAUCUAAUCAGCUGCCAGCAUAGCUAGAAUAAAAAGCAAGCAGAAGAACAUGGAAAGAACAGACUUCUGAGUCUUCCAGCCUCCAUCUUUCUCCUGUGCUGGAUGCUUCCUGCCCUCAAACAUCAGACUCCAAGUUCUUCAGCUUCUGGACUCCUGGACUGACCCAGAGCCUCUCGGGCCUUUGACCACAGACUGAAGGCUGCAUUGUAGGCUUCCCUACUUUUGAGGGUUCAGGAUUCGGACUGACCCACCACUGGCUUCCUUGCUCCUCAACUUGGACACAGCCUAUCAUUGGACUUUACCUUGUGAUCAUGUGAGUCAAUACUCCU
Molecule: long non-coding RNA, 1027 nt
Filed under: Callithrix jacchus (white-tufted-ear marmoset)
Lineage: Eukaryota; Metazoa; Chordata; Mammalia; Primates; Cebidae
Description: lncRNA (ENSCJAG00000075294.1)
Source: RNAcentral